CAAGUCGAACGGCAGCGCGGGGCAACCUGGCGGCGAGUGGCGAACGGGUGAGUAAUAUAUCGGAACGUACCCAAGAGUGGGGGAUAACGUAGCGAAAGUUACGCUAAUACCGCAUACGAUCCAAGGAUGAAAGCAGGGGACCGCAAGGCCUUGUGCUCCUGGAGCGGCCGAUAUCUGAUUAGCUAGUUGGUGGGGUAAAGGCCCACCAAGGCAUCGAUCAGUAGCUGGUCUGAGAGGACGACCAGCCACACUGGAACUGAGACACGGUCCAGACUCCUACGGGAGGCAGCAGUGGGGAAUUUUGGACAAUGGGGGCAACCCUGAUCCAGCAAUGCCGCGUGAGUGAAGAAGGCCUUCGGGUUGUAAAGCUCUUUUGUCAGGGAAGAAAAGGUUACGGCUAAUAUCCGUGACUCAUGACGGUACCUGAAGAAUAAGCACCGGCUAACUACGUGCCAGCAGCCGCGGUAAUACGUAGGGUGCAAGCGUUAAUCGGAAUUACUGGGCGUAAAGCGUGCGCAGGCGGUUUUGUAAGUCUGUUGUGAAAUCCCCGGGCUCAACCUGGGAAUGGCAAUGGAGACUGCAAGGCUAGAGUUUGGCAGAGGGGGGUAGAAUUCCACGUGUAGCAGUGAAAUGCGUAGAUAUGUGGAGGAACACCGAUGGCGAAGGCAGCCCCCUGGGUCAAAACUGACGCUCAUGCACGAAAGCGUGGGGAGCAAACAGGAUUAGAUACCCUGGUAGUCCACGCCCUAAACGAUGUCUACUAGUUGUCGGGUCUUAAUUGACUUGGUAACGCAGCUAACGCGUGAAGUAGACCGCCUGGGGA
Molecule: ribosomal RNA, 823 nt
Filed under: uncultured Duganella sp.
Lineage: Bacteria; Pseudomonadati; Pseudomonadota; Betaproteobacteria; Burkholderiales; Oxalobacteraceae
Description: bacterial SSU rRNA
Rfam family: Bacterial small subunit ribosomal RNA
Source: RNAcentral